RNAcentral lists this long non-coding RNA (1106 nucleotides) under Apteryx rowi (Okarito brown kiwi). RNAcentral's name for it is "lncRNA (ENSARWG00000001501.1)". Lineage: Eukaryota; Metazoa; Chordata; Aves; Apterygiformes; Apterygidae. The record is from RNAcentral.
UAAUAUGAGGAAGUCAAACUAUAGGAUUUUACUGUCAGGGCCAUCAGCUGCUCGGGGGCCUGUUUGAAUCAAUUGAUGGCAAAUAGCAUUUCUUGCAGACAGAUUUCUAUCUGACUUUCUUGUCCACCAAUUCAACAGAAGAACUAACAACCAAAUGUCCAUAGUUACUGGGUCUUUGUAUAGGUAAAAUCAUUUUGGAAGGUUUGAAAUAUGGUUGCAGGGAAUCUUACAUUGCUGAAACUGUGGCAACUGCCAUGCGCUGUGCCUGUGCAUGUAAGACUUCAUGGCUGACUCCUUUAUUCGAGAGAGCUACUGCUAAUCUUACUCUUUUGCAUGUUUGGCUUGAUGUGAUGUGAAUAUGAUAGCACUUCAGAAAAGCACAAGGAACAAAUAGAAAUCACUUUGCAACAGAAUUUUGCUAGGUGGCAAGCAGUGGCUCUUUGUUCCCCUAUGACGUACAAAGGACUUAAAAGUGUUUGAGGAAAAGGAGAAAGCUGGAAAUCACCCCUUCCAACUGGCAGAAAGCUUUGACUCUCAGCCCUGCAAAGCUUUGAAGUCAUGAUACAUCUACAAGUAAAUCUGUCAUUUCUCCUACCCUUGUCUUGCUAGCCUGAGCCUUGAAGAACAGUUUUCACAAAUUUCUCCUCAGCAAAUAGAGAUGAUCAAUUUUGGCCUAUUUUCAGAUCCUGGUUCUCCAGGAACGAGUGCCAAAACCAAAAGUGCUUGAGUUUGACUUCAGAGAUUUCAGUUUUCCAGUGUCUGCAGCCCUACAUCACAGAGGCCUUUUGGAAGUGUUAUCCCAGAGCUGUGCCCUGCUGCAUGCAAUCUUGUUCGAACUUGCCAGUGGGUUUAAUGUGAGCCUCAUCAGCAGUGGACCUGGAUAAGAAAUUGAGAUCAGCUGUUUCUUCACUCUGAGCCAGUCUGCCCACAACAGUGCUAGCAGUAAGAUGCCCUGACUACAUGAGAGGUAGCUGCUGCCUUGACCAGAGCAUCCUGGUAAGAUCCCCUACAGUAAGACCCAACUAAGAGAUGCGUGACCUCUCUCUGUCUUGUCUCUUGUCUCCUCUGCCCACUGGGUGAUUUUAGCCACAGCAAAACCAUAACAA